This 688-nucleotide ribosomal RNA is filed under the name uncultured Aestuariibacter sp. Its description in RNAcentral is "bacterial SSU rRNA". It matches the Rfam family "Bacterial small subunit ribosomal RNA", at positions 102 to 784 of the family's 1533-position model. Lineage: Bacteria; Pseudomonadati; Pseudomonadota; Gammaproteobacteria; Alteromonadales; Alteromonadaceae. The record is from RNAcentral.
ACGGGUGAGUAAUGCUUGGGAAUCUGCCCAAUAGUGGGGGAAAACUCGGGGAAACCCGGGCUAAUACCGCAUAAUCUCUACGGAGGAAAGAGGGCCUCUACAUGUAAGCUCUCGCUAAUGGAUGAGCCCAAGUCAGAUUAGCUAGUUGGUAAGGUAAUGGCUUACCAAGGCUACGAUCUGUAGCUGGUCUGAGAGGAAGAUCAGCCACACUGGGACUGAGACACGGCCCAGACUCCUACGGGAGGCAGCAGUGGGGAAUAUUGCACAAUGGGGGAAGCCCUGAUGCAGCCAUGCCGCGUGUGUGAAGAAGGCCUUCGGGUUGUAAAGCACUUUCAGUUGUGAGGAAAGGUUGGUAGUUAAUACCUGCCAGCUGUGACGUUAACAACAGAAGAAGCACCGGCUAACUCCGUGCCAGCAGCCGCGGUAAUACGGAGGGUGCGAGCGUUAAUCGGAAUUACUGGGCGUAAAGCGGACGCAGGCGGUUUGUUAAGCUAGAUGUGAAAGCCCCGGGCUCAACCUGGGAUGGUCAUUUAGAACUGGCAGACUAGAGUCUUGGAGAGGGGAGUGGAAUUCCAGGUGUAGCGGUGAAAUGCGUAGAUAUCUGGAGGAACAUCAGUGGCGAAGGCGACUCCCUGGCCAAAGACUGACGCUCAUGUCCGAAAGUGUGGGUAGCGAACAGGAUUAGAUA